GGAAUCUUCGGCAAUGGGGGCAACCCUGACCGAGCAACGCCGCGUGAGUGGAGAAGGUUUUCGGAUCGUAAAGCUCUGUUGUAAGAGAAGAACGUGUGUGAGAGUGGAAAGUUCACACAGUGACGGUAACUUACCAGAAAGGGACGGCUAACUACGUGCUAG
Molecule: ribosomal RNA, 162 nt
Filed under: uncultured bacterium
Lineage: Bacteria
Description: partial 16S rRNA
Rfam family: Bacterial small subunit ribosomal RNA
Source: RNAcentral